Non-coding RNA from Leptonychotes weddellii (Weddell seal), 230 nucleotides. The record is from RefSeq and is a predicted model, not a curated record. NCBI's taxonomy places the organism in Eukaryota, Metazoa, Chordata, Mammalia, Carnivora, Phocidae.
GGCGAGGAAAUGAGCCAGAACAGUUUCAUAAAGCAGUAUCUGGAAAAGCAGCAGGAGCUACUUAGGCAGCGUCUGGAACGUGAAGCCCGAGAAGCUGCAGAACUUGAAGAAGCUUCAGCUGAGUCGGAGGACGAGAUGAUCCAUCCUGAGGGAGUGGCUUCCCUGCUGCCUCCUGACUUUCAGAGCAGCCUGGAGAGACCAGAGCUGGAGCUCAGCAGACAUUCGCCCAG